RNAcentral lists this long non-coding RNA (797 nucleotides) under Citrus sinensis (sweet orange). Its description in RNAcentral is "long non-coding RNA (CSIN_LNC004545)". The record is from RNAcentral. Lineage: Eukaryota; Viridiplantae; Streptophyta; Magnoliopsida; Sapindales; Rutaceae.
AUCAAACUAAUUCUCAAUAACAAUAAAUAUCAACACAUAAAUGAAAUCAAUUUUCUAGAAAAUCAUUAAAUCGAAGCAUCAAAUACUUAUUUAUCAAAACAUACUGCACUGUAUCAUAAAAUCAUCAUGUACUUUGAAAAUAGGUUUUGUAUAUUCCACUCACAGUGAUAAUGUCCAGACUCGGUGUCGACAACGUCCGCAGGUUGAUUCUCGUUUUGCGGAUCCUCCUAAUCAAGGAAACGACAUAAUCAUUUUCCGUAACUUGAAAUACAACUAAUCUUACAUAAUAAUUCUCGAAACGAAUAUCUAUCAACAAUAAACUAUUCCCGCAUGCACAAAAUUACCGAAAUACCCCUACAUACCAAAAUUACCAAAAUGCCCCCAACAUCAUUAUUUUACCAAAUUAUCCUCAGAAUCUUCAAUUACUAAAUGGUCCUCAAUUUAGAUCACAUAAAUAACCACAAUGUCAAAAUUACGAAAUUACCCUCGGAGCGUAAAUUUACCAAAAUGUCCUUAACAACUUAAAUUACUGAAUUACCCUUGAAAUCUCAAAUUAUCUCACUGCCUUAACCUAAAAUUACCAAUUUAUCCACUGAUUCCACAAAUUACAUAUUUUCCCUUAAAUUUAUGAAUUUAUCGAAUUGCCCUUGAAUUCAACAUUACCAAAAUACCCUCAUAUCAAAAUUACCAAAUUAACCUCAAAAUCAUAAAUUACCAACUUUAUCCUCAAUUUCAGCAAUUACCAAAAUACCCACAAAAUCUGAAAUUACAAAAUUGCCCUUAGACUGUGAAAUUAC